AAUCUGUUUGUCUUAGUGACA
Molecule: microRNA, 21 nt
Filed under: Monodelphis domestica (gray short-tailed opossum)
Lineage: Eukaryota; Metazoa; Chordata; Mammalia; Didelphimorphia; Didelphidae
Description: mdo-miR-7397-5p
Source: miRBase by way of RNAcentral